AGGACGAACGCUGGCGGCGUGCUUAACACAUGCAAGUCGAGCGGUAAGGUCUUUCGGGGUACACGAGCGGCGAACGGGUGAGUAACACGUGGGUGAUCUGCCCUGCACUCUGGGAUAAGCCUGGGAAACUGGGUCUAAUACCGGAUAUGACCUGCUCUCGCAUGGGGGUGGGUGGAAAGAUUUAUCGGUGCAGGAUGGGCCCGCGGCCUAUCAGCUUGUUGGUGGGGUAAUGGCCUACCAAGGCGACGACGGGUAGCCGACCUGAGAGGGUGACCGGCCACACUGGGACUGAGACACGGCCCAGACUCCUACGGGAGGCAGCAGUGGGGAAUAUUGCACAAUGGGCGAAAGCCUGAUGCAGCGACGCCGCGUGAGGGAUGAAGGCCUUGGGUUGUAAACCUCUUUCAGCAGGACGAAGCGCAAGUGACGUACCUGCAGAAGAAGCACCGGCUAACUACGUGCCAGCAGCCGC
This 472-nucleotide ribosomal RNA is filed under the name uncultured soil bacterium. Its description in RNAcentral is "bacterial SSU rRNA". It matches the Rfam family "Bacterial small subunit ribosomal RNA", at positions 26 to 518 of the family's 1533-position model. The record is from RNAcentral.